RNAcentral lists this ribosomal RNA (500 nucleotides) under uncultured bacterium. RNAcentral describes it as "bacterial SSU rRNA". It matches the Rfam family "Bacterial small subunit ribosomal RNA", at positions 29 to 507 of the family's 1533-position model. The record is from RNAcentral.
ACGAACGCUGGCGGCGUGCCUAAUACAUGCAAGUCGAGCGGAAUGAUGAAGAAGCUUGCUUCUUCUGAUUUUAGCGGCGGACGGGUGAGUAACACGUGGGCAACCUACCUUGUAGAUUGGGAUAACUCCGGGAAACCGGGGCUAAUACCGAAUAAUCCAGUUUUGCUUCAUGGCGAGAUGUUGAAAGACGGUUUCGGCUGUCACUACAAGAUGGGCCCGCGGCGCAUUAGCUAGUUGGUAGGGUAAUGGCCUACCAAGGCGACGAUGCGUAGCCGACCUGAGAGGGUGAUCGGCCACACUGGGACUGAGACACGGCCCAGACUCCUACGGGAGGCAGCAGUAGGGAAUCUUCCACAAUGGACGAAAGUCUGAUGGAGCAACGCCGCGUGAGUGAAGAAGGUUCUCGGAUCGUAAAACUCUGUUGUAAGGGAAGAACACGUACGAGAGUAACUGCUCGUACCUUGACGGUACCUUAUUAGAAAGCCACGGCUAACUACGUG